ACGGUUGACCUCGGAUCAGGUAGGAAUACCCGCUGAACUUAAGCAUAUCAAUAAGGCGGAGGAA
RNAcentral lists this ribosomal RNA (64 nucleotides) under Verticillium dahliae. Its description in RNAcentral is "partial 28S ribosomal RNA". The record is from RNAcentral. Lineage: Eukaryota; Fungi; Ascomycota; Sordariomycetes; Glomerellales; Plectosphaerellaceae.